AUGUGGUUUAAUUCGUAUGAUACGCGAGGAACCUUACCCGGCUUGAAAUGCAUCUGACCGGCCUUGAAAGAGGCUUUCCCUUCGGGGCAGAUGUGUAGGUGCUGCAUGGUUGUCGUCAGCUCGUGCCGUGAGGUGUCGGCUUAAGUGCCAUAACGAGCGCAACCCUCAUCAUUAGUUACCAUCAGGUCAAGCUGGGGACUCUAAUGAGACUGCCAUCGUAAGAUGCGAGGAAGGUGGGGAUGACGUCAAAUCAGCACGGCCCUUACGUCCGGGGCGACACACGUGUUACAAUGGGUGGUACAAAGGGCAGCUACCUGGCGACAGGAUGCUAAUCUCCAAAACCACUCUCAGUUCGGAUCGGAGUCUGCAACUCGACUCCGUGAAGCUGGAUUCGCUAGUAAUCGCGCAUCAGCCACGGCGCGGUGAAUACGUUCCCGGGCCUU
RNAcentral lists this ribosomal RNA (443 nucleotides) under uncultured Proteiniphilum sp. RNAcentral's name for it is "bacterial SSU rRNA". It matches the Rfam family "Bacterial small subunit ribosomal RNA", at positions 939 to 1382 of the family's 1533-position model. The record is from RNAcentral. Lineage: Bacteria; Pseudomonadati; Bacteroidota; Bacteroidia; Bacteroidales; Dysgonomonadaceae.